RNAcentral lists this long non-coding RNA (525 nucleotides) under Hordeum vulgare. RNAcentral describes it as "long non-coding RNA (HVUL_LNC006903)". Lineage: Eukaryota; Viridiplantae; Streptophyta; Magnoliopsida; Poales; Poaceae. The record is from RNAcentral.
GGGGGGAUAGGGAGGGGCUGAACACACCAAUUCCCACCCCCGGUGGCAGCCCUACCUCUCCCAUAACUCUGUUUUCUCCUCAGAUCGGUUCCGGCAGCACUUGGCGAAGCCCUGCUAGCACUGCUCCACCAUCAUCUCCACCAUGCCGUGGUGCUGGUUGAGAUCCCAUCUAUUUAUCCUUCCUCUCUAUCUGGAUCAAGAAGGAGGAGACGUCAUCGAGACAUACCUGUGCUGAACGCGGAGGUGCCGUCCGUUCGGCACUAGAUCGGGAAGGAUCGUGAUGGGAUCGCGGGACGAACCGUGAUGGGAUCGCGGGAUGAAUCGUGAUGGGAUCGCGGGAUGGGCUGCGAUUUGGAUCGCGAAGAUGUUCCACUACAUCAACCGCGUUAUAUACUCUUACGCUUAGCGAUAUACAAGGGUAUGUAGAUACAGUCUCUCCUCUCGUAGAUGGUCAUCACCAUGGAUAGGUCUUGCGUGUGCGUAGGAAAUUUUGUGUUUCCCAUGCAACAUUCCCCACCAGUGGCA